UUGGAGGGCAAGUCUGGUGCCAGCAGCCGCGGUAAUUCCAGCUCCAAUAGCGUAUAUUAAAGUUGUUGCAGUUAAAAAGCUCGUAGUUGAACCUCGGGGUCUACCCAUUGGUCAGGCUUAAUUGUCUGCACUGGUGAGAUGGAUCUCUACCUUCUGAGGAACUUUCAUGCCAUUUAUUUGGUGUGAUGGGAAAUCAGGACUGUUACUUUGAAAAAAUUAGAGUGUUUAAAGCAGACUAUCGUCUGAAUACAUUAGCAUGGAAUAAUGAAAUAGGACGGACUGAUUCUAUUUCGUUGGUUUCUAGGAUCACCGUAAUGAUUAAUAGGGAUAGUUGGGGGCAUUAGUAUUCAAUUGUCAGAGGUGAAAUUCUUGGAUUUAUUGAAGACUAACUACUGCGAAAGCAUUUGCCAAGGAUGUUUUCAUUAAUCAGGAACGAAAGUUAGGGGAUCGAAGACGAUCAGAUACCGUCGUAGUCUUAACCAUAAACUAUGCCGACUAGGGAUCGGACGAAGUUAUUAAAAAUGACGCGUUCGGCGCCUUACGGGAAAC
Molecule: ribosomal RNA, 549 nt
Filed under: uncultured Diversispora
Lineage: Eukaryota; Fungi; Glomeromycota; Glomeromycetes; Diversisporales; Diversisporaceae
Description: SSU rRNA
Rfam family: Eukaryotic small subunit ribosomal RNA
Source: RNAcentral